RNAcentral lists this unclassified non-coding RNA (220 nucleotides) under uncultured Tomentella. RNAcentral describes it as "sequence contains ITS2". The record is from RNAcentral. Lineage: Eukaryota; Fungi; Basidiomycota; Agaricomycetes; Thelephorales; Thelephoraceae.
ACACCUCAACUCUCAUGGCUUGCCCAUGAUGAGCUUGGACUUUGGGGGUCUUGUUGGCCUGUGAGGCCAGCUCCUCUUAAAUGAAUUAGCUUGCCGGUGUUUGGUGGCAUCACAGGUGUGAUAACUAUCUACGCUUGUGGUUUCCCACCAGGUAACCUUCAGCAAUGGAGGUUCACUGGAGCUCAUAAAUGUCUCUCCUCUGCGAGGACACGUUUUGACC